GAUGAACGCUGGCGGCGUGCUUAACACAUGCAAGUCGAACGAAGUGGAGAUCUUCGGAUUGAAACUUAGUGGCGGGCGGGUGAGUAACGCGUGGGUAACCUGCCUCGUACAGGGGGGUAACGAGUUAGAAAUGACUGCUAAUACCGCAUAACCCGCUAAGGUCGCAUGACCUGGACGGAAAAGAUUUAUCGGUACGAGAUGGACCCGCGUCUGAUUAGCUAGUUGGUGAGGUAACGGCCCACCCAAGGCAACGAUCAGUAGCCGACCCGAGAGGGUAAUCGGCCACAUUGGGACUGAGACACGGCCCAA
RNAcentral lists this ribosomal RNA (309 nucleotides) under uncultured bacterium. RNAcentral's name for it is "bacterial SSU rRNA". It matches the Rfam family "Bacterial small subunit ribosomal RNA", at positions 28 to 334 of the family's 1533-position model. The record is from RNAcentral.